Molecule: long non-coding RNA, 314 nt
Filed under: Elaeis guineensis (African oil palm)
Lineage: Eukaryota; Viridiplantae; Streptophyta; Magnoliopsida; Arecales; Arecaceae
Description: long non-coding RNA (EGUI_LNC025442)
Source: RNAcentral
GGCACCGGCGCUUUCUCGUCUCUCCGAGGUUUGAUCUCUUCUUCCCUUCGAUUUUUUUCUAUCUCAUGUCUAGUCUCACCCCUUGACCGGAACCCUAACCCUAAUUUACUUCUUUCUUGGUCGGCUGUCAUCACUACCCGAAGGUCUCCAACAACGACUCCCCGGCCUUCAGCGUCUGAGAAUUGAGACAAUAUGCGAAAGGAGGCCGGUAUUGGGACCUGAUCUCACGCAUCCCCGAUAUCGGAACACUAUCUGAGAUUAGGAGCAACUUCAGCACAUUCCCUCCUUCCUUUUCUUGCUUUUGAAGACCAUCU